This 520-nucleotide ribosomal RNA is filed under the name uncultured Archaeospora. RNAcentral describes it as "SSU rRNA". It matches the Rfam family "Eukaryotic small subunit ribosomal RNA", at positions 569 to 1091 of the family's 1831-position model. The record is from RNAcentral. Lineage: Eukaryota; Fungi; Glomeromycota; Glomeromycetes; Archaeosporales; Archaeosporaceae.
AGCAGCCGCGGUAAUUCCAGCUCCAAUAGCGUAUAUUAAAGUUGUUGCAGUUAAAAAGCUCGUAGUUGAAUUUUUGAUUCUUCCAAUUGGUCCAUCUUUUAGAUGAGUACUGGUUGUGUGGGGUCUAUCCGCCUGGUGAUACGUAAUGUCCUUUAUUGGAUGUUGCGGGUAGUCAGGACCUUUACCUUGAAAAAAUUAGAGUGUUUAAAGCAGGCUUAUGCCGGAAUACAUUAGCAUGGAAUAAUAGAAUAGGACGAAGUUGUUUUAUUUUGUUGGUUUCUAGGACAACCGUAAUGAUUAAUAGGGAUAGUUGGGGGCAUUAGUAUUCAAUUGUCAGAGGUGAAAUUCUUGGAUUUAUUGAAGACUAACUACUGCGAAAGCAUUUGCCAAGGAUGUUUUCAUUAAUCAAGAACGAAAGUUAGGGGAUCGAAGACGAUCAGAUACCGUCGUAGUCUUAACCAUAAACUAUGCCGACUAGGGAUCGGGCGAUGUUGUUUCCAUGACUCGCUCGGCACCUUAU